AAAUUUGAGUUAAGAUCAACGGUUUAUUCAUUAGUUAUUGAGGUUUAAAACUGUUAUAGGCAUUAUUAGGAUUUGGUUUAGGAUUUGGUUAGGAUUUGGUUUAGGGUUUAGGGUUUGGAUUAGGGUUUGAUUUAGGAUUUGGUUGGGAUUUAUUUAGGAUUUAGGAUUUGAUUAGGGUUUGGUUUAGGAUUUAGGGUUUGGAUUAGGAUUUUGUUAGGAUUUGAUUUAGGGUUUAAGGUUUGGUUUAGGGUUUGGUUAGGAUUUGGUUUAGGAUUUGAUUGGGAUUUGGUUUAAGGUUUGUUUAGGAUUUGAUUCAAGGUUUAGGAUUUGGUUGGAAUUUGGUUUAAGGUUUAUUUAGGGUUUGAUUCAAGGUUUAGGAUUUUAUUAGGAUUUAAGAUUCAAUUAGUUUUGGCCUAAAGUUUGAAUGAAGUUCAAUAGGAUUUUAACUAGAAUUAAAUUAAGAUUGAACUGAGAUGUAUUUGAGUGAUAUUUGUAAUCAUUUUAAUAUUUCUUUAAGAAUUCUUAUUCUUUGUUUAAAAUUUCUUUGAGAUUUUUUUGAAUUUGAUUAAGCUUACUUAGCAUUAUUAUGGUCUAAUUAUAGCAUUGUUAGUAUUCUAUUAGAAUUAGGAUUUUGUUAUUGCAAUUUUCAUUCUUCCUUCCACAACCAGGUGCCCGGAGCAUUCUCAAGCAAGACUUCACAUAUUA
RNAcentral lists this long non-coding RNA (705 nucleotides) under Physcomitrium patens. RNAcentral describes it as "long non-coding RNA (PPAT_LNC003862)". The record is from RNAcentral. Lineage: Eukaryota; Viridiplantae; Streptophyta; Bryopsida; Funariales; Funariaceae.